RNAcentral lists this ribosomal RNA (173 nucleotides) under uncultured bacterium. RNAcentral describes it as "partial 16S ribosomal RNA". It matches the Rfam family "Bacterial small subunit ribosomal RNA", at positions 336 to 526 of the family's 1533-position model. The record is from RNAcentral.
CUCCUACGGGAGGGCAGCAGUGGGGAAUUUUGGCGCAAUGGGGAAACCCUGACGCAGCAACGCCGCGUGGAGGAUGAAGUAUCGUCGGUACGUAACUCCUUUCGAUGGGGAAGAUGAUGACGGUACCCAUAGAAGAAGCCCGGCUAACUUCGUGCCAGCCGCCGCGGUAAUUC